Non-coding RNA from Parcubacteria group bacterium, 71 nucleotides. The record is from Rfam.
GCCCCUGUAGCUUAGUGGUAAAGCGGCGGCCUCUUAAGCCGUUUACGUGGGUCCGAUUCCCUCCGGGGGCA